RNAcentral lists this ribosomal RNA (254 nucleotides) under uncultured bacterium. Its description in RNAcentral is "partial 16S ribosomal RNA". It matches the Rfam family "Bacterial small subunit ribosomal RNA", at positions 524 to 776 of the family's 1533-position model. The record is from RNAcentral.
UACGUAGGCAGCGAGCGUUGUUCGGAGUUACUGGGCGUAAAGCGUGCGUAGGCGGUUUUCUAAGUCUCGUGUGAAAUCUCCCGGCUCAACUGAGAGGGUGCGCUAGAAACUGGAAGGCUUGGAGUGUGGGAGAGGUAGGCGGAAUUCCUGGUGUAGCGGUGAAAUGCGUAGAUAUCAGGAGGAACACCUGUGGUGUAGACGGCUUACUGGACCAUGACUGACGCUGAGGCACGAAAGCGUGGGGAGCAAACAGG